Long non-coding RNA from Hippocampus zosterae (dwarf seahorse), 268 nucleotides. RefSeq lists it as uncharacterized. The record is from RefSeq and is a predicted model, not a curated record. NCBI's taxonomy places the organism in Eukaryota, Metazoa, Chordata, Actinopteri, Syngnathiformes, Syngnathidae. The transcript is spliced from 3 exons.
GGUCCUCUGUCUCCUUUGAAGCCAGGCGAUCCAGGGAACCCGGGCUCACCUUUCGGACCCACCUGUGCUCCUGUCUGCCCGCUAAUAACCUGAUGGGACAAAAACAAUCAAGCCAAAUCUGAUGGGGGAGACCUGAUACGGGAUACCCUGCAGCCGGCAACGAAACACAGGGGGACCUGGAUAGCCAGGAUCACCAGGGAGGCCUGGAAGCCCUGGGUCACCCUUUCAAAGGAGAAAUACAAGAGACUGAAUUCAGUGGAUCUACCAG